AUGCUGAACGGGGGGAGGGAGGGCCUGUUUCAGCUGGGACAGCAGCUCCAGCAGCAGGGGGAGUACCAGGCCGCCCUACACUGCUUCCUCAGCUCUCUGCUGGGGUUGAGGCACGUGCAGAGCUUCACCUCGCUGCCCAACUGCCUGCAUCAGAUUGCUGAACUUUUCAUCUCCGAAAAUAAUUACGGCAAGGCCCUGCAGUUCAUUCAGGCUGAGAAGCUGUUCUAUGAGGUUGCUCUGAUCGAGCUCACUGCUGUUCAGGGGAGCACAGGCCCCCAGGAGGAGGCUUUGCUGGGCUCGGCGGGGACAGGAUGGGCGUCCUCAGAGGAGCUAUCGGAUCAGGCCUCCCAGGCACAGCACCUGGAGCAGCUAGCCCAGCUCUGCAUCGUCAGUAAAAGACCUCAUCUUGCUUUAGAGUACAGUGGGAAAGCCACUAAAAUCCAUCAGAGGGCCUUUGGCAACGACCACCCCAUCACAGACAGGAGUCUGGAGCUGCUGGCCACCGUCUACGCAGAGAUCGGCAAGACAGAAUACUCAGACUCCCUGGGCCAGUGUGUGUCAGUGCUGUCCAAGAGGUUUGCUGCUGCCGAGUCCUUCGGAGACAAACUCAACAACGGUCUUCCCCAUUCCCACUCCCAUCGGGAGAAACACUCCGAGGUCUGGCACAGGAAAGACCCCAGUCCACAGGAUGACACACCAAAACCGAAGGUCACCAACGGUAAAAUCCCUACGUCCAUACUGAAGAGGUCUGGCUCAGGAUCAGACUCGGAGCCCAGCCACAGACGGAAAGGCAAGCGACAGGUCCGCUUCCGGGAGCCUGAGACCACUGUGCAUGACGUUCCAUACUAUGACUGUUUAGUUGCCUAUGACACGUCACCGCCACGCCCCCACCUGGCCCUGUUCACCUGCUUGUUCCUGCUGAUGUCACUGCUGGGCGUGGUCAUGUACAGCACGGACCGCCGGCGCCCACAGCGUGUGUGUGAGGAGCUGGAGGCCUCACUGGCUGUCUACCUGAUACACAUGAAACAGCUGCUGUGGGGCUGCUGGAUCUGGCUAACCAUGCAGUGA
Molecule: long non-coding RNA, 1068 nt
Filed under: Salmo trutta (river trout)
Lineage: Eukaryota; Metazoa; Chordata; Actinopteri; Salmoniformes; Salmonidae
Description: lncRNA (ENSSTUG00000005432.1)
Source: RNAcentral